GAUGAACGCUGGCGGCGUGCCUAAUACAUGCAAGUCGAGCGAACAGACGAGGAGCUUGCUCCUCUGACGUUAGCGGCGGACGGGUGAGUAACACGUGGAUAACCUACCUAUAAGACUGGGAUAACUUCGGGAAACCGGAGCUAAUACCGGAUAACAUGUUGAACCGCAUGGUUCAACAGUGAAAGACGGUCUUGCUGUCACUUAUAGAUGGAUCCGCGCCGCAUUAGCUAGUUGGUAAGGUAACGGCUUACCAAGGCAACGAUGCGUAGCCGACCUGAGAGGGUGAUCGGCCACACUGGAGCUGAGACACGGUCCAGACUCCUACGGGAGGCAGCAGUAGGGAAUCUUCCGCAAUGGGCGAAAGCCUGACGGAGCAACGCCGCGUGAGUGAAGAAGGUCUUCGGAUCGUAAAACUCUGUUAUUAGGGAAGAACAAAUGUGUAAGUAACUAUGCACGUCCUGACGGUACCUAAUCAGAAAGCCACGGCUAACUACGUG
This 497-nucleotide ribosomal RNA is filed under the name uncultured bacterium. RNAcentral's name for it is "partial 16S ribosomal RNA". It matches the Rfam family "Bacterial small subunit ribosomal RNA", at positions 28 to 507 of the family's 1533-position model. The record is from RNAcentral.